GGACCUUUCACUUGUAUGCAGUGACUUCAAUUACUAUGAAAGGACUGACUUUUGGAAAGUAGUACUAGUAGUAGUAGUCGUGACUACAACAACAACAACGUUUAUUUAUAACACCCCUUUCGCCAAAGGGUGGAACAAGAAACAUACAACUGAAAGGCAAACAGAACAAACAAACAAAAUUGAACAAUAUAUGUAAAAUCAACAGCCCAUUCCUCACCAGACGCUUCACAUCUCCACAGCUACUCACUAUCUUAAACGACUCUUCUCGGAGAGCAUUUUACACACUCUGCAUACAACAUGUCUUUCUCCUUCUUCCUCGGAUAGUGAGAGCAUUUCUGCAGUUAUUCUUUCAUUUAGCACGAUACCUAAGUGCUCUACUCAGGUCUUCUUUAAAAAUUCAUCAUUGAAUCCCCUAGACCUAGAGUAUUCCAGGUUUGUUUUCUGUUGUUAAAUGCCUAAAUAUUUUAAAAGACCCUUAGCAUCAUUUUCCUUGUUCUCUAUAGCAGAACAGAUUUGUGUGUUUCUGGGGGAAAAAAACGUGCUGGUUAUUUUUCAUCUCUCCAUAGUUGAUGCAAGUACGACAGCUCAGAUUACGUCCCCUGUUGUGGCCGUAGUUGUGCUCUUAGCUGUUGGGACGCUAGCUGGAUAUAACGCUUACAAGCAAAAGAAAUUCUGUUUCAAACCUAGAGGUGGAGAAGAAGUUGUUUAAGACAUCAAGCUAAAAACUGAGAAAUAUGGAAGAUACCAGAAGAUUAUCCAUACUUUAAUGCACUAUUGUAUAGAUAAUGUAUAACUCCUUUGACAGAAAUUUUGUGCAAUAUGACAUUUUGCUGGGUGAAAGCUCAAGAGCAAAUAACUAUAAUUUAUCACAUAUCUACACAAGGAUUCUUCAUUAAUAUAUCUAUUUUUUUUUCCUCCAAAUACAAGCUUGGUUGUUUUUCCUAGAGGCAACUUCUGCAGCAGAAANGCAAAAGUUGUGGCAGAGAGAUAAAGUUCGGCUUGGAGGCUUUACUGUGUUUCCCACUAAUCCUUCCUCUGUAUCACCUCUCUGUAUAUAGUUAAAUGCAACAUGCAUUUAAACUGACUGUAGCCAAUCUUGGAAGCUAAACAGGAUUGUGCCUGGUUUUUCCUGGAUAGGAAACUGCUGGAGAAAACCGUGUUUUAGGGCUUCUGCAUUGCAUCAGAUGCUUCUGAUGAAGUAGGCUUAUUAUACAUAAAGUCUACAAAAGUUCAAGCUACCAACUUCAUUCUUUCUCAAGAUCCCCUUGUACUGCUCUCAAGACACCUGCAUGCAUUUGCCUGUUGUCAUCAGGAGCUGGCUCUGCCUUUACAAAACAGAGCACAUUUGUUAUGGACAUAGAUUGGCUAGUAACAAUCAGGCUGGGUCUCCACUUACCCAGCAAGGUGGUUCUAUUAUGUGUGUAUGGGAGGUACCACAAUCCACCACUGAAAAAGACAUCUUCACAUCUCCAUUUGAGAGCACAAAAGCAUCAAUCCCUGUGGCAGCCCUCACACUGAUUCUGAAGCUUGCGUCAGCUUGGNAGCUGACGUGGGGGUCCUCCAAAUGCUUUGGGCAGUGCAUUUUGUUGUGCUGCUAAAGUGUGUCUGCUGUGGUAUACCAGACCAUGGGGACAUGCCAUCAACACACCUCCAUGGUCUAAUUUACCCUAGAAUGUUAGAAGACCUCAAAAAAAAGUCUACCAGUAGACCGGACCAAGACAUCAUUCAGGGCAUCCUAAUCCAGUAUAUGAUGCGUUCUAUGCAGAUGGAGUAUAUUACAACAGGGAGGGGCAUUGCUUAAACUGCAUCAAUGUGCAGAAAGGAAGCCCACAGACCCCUUCCUGGUCCACAGCACUGGUGAGUGCAAGAACACCUUGAAUCAAUUGUUUCGUGCAACUGCCUUCAUAAUCUUUUUUGGCAGUGAGAUGAUCAGGUAUAAAUAUACAUAGGUUGCAUUUAUGCCCAUGGAUUUCUGGAUUAAAGUCACUAAGCUAAAGACAGAAGUGGAAUGCACUGUGAUACGUAGAUUUCAGACCGUAUAAGAUGCACAUGUACUUUGGAAUACUUAGGAAAAGCAAAUUAAAAACUCAGGGGAAAAAAAUUUAAAAAUAGGAAACGGUGAUUUGGGGAGAAUUUUUUGUAAAAAACUGGGUCUUAUACAGCAAAACAUACAAAAAUAACAUGUGUAGCAUUUAUUGGGAACUCUUUUUGACUCUUCCAUUCAAAUUUAAAUGUAAACAACUGUGUCAAAUGGAGAAAUAUUUAUGCACUAAAUGUAUGUAUUCUGAGGUGGACUUUCCAAGAAACAUUUUAUCUAAUAAAUAAAUCACCUAUUUUCA
Molecule: long non-coding RNA, 2339 nt
Filed under: Salvator merianae (Argentine black and white tegu)
Lineage: Eukaryota; Metazoa; Chordata; Lepidosauria; Squamata; Teiidae
Description: lncRNA (ENSSMRG00000022465.1)
Source: RNAcentral